This 440-nucleotide ribosomal RNA is filed under the name uncultured bacterium. RNAcentral's name for it is "partial 16S ribosomal RNA". It matches the Rfam family "Bacterial small subunit ribosomal RNA", at positions 338 to 795 of the family's 1533-position model. The record is from RNAcentral.
CCUACGGGAGGCAGCAGUAGGGAAUAUUGCUCAAUGGGGGAAACCCUGAAGCAGCAACGCCGCGUGGAGGAUGAAGGUUUUCGGAUUGUAAACUCCUUUUGUUAGAGAAGAGAAUGACGGUAUCUAACGAAUAAGCAACGGCUAACUCCGUGCCAGCAGCCGCGGUAACACGGAGGGGGCAAGCGUUACUCGGAAUCACUGGGCGUAAAGCGCGCGUAGGGGGGAUGGCAAGUCAGAUGUGAAAUCCUAUGGCUUAACCCUAGAACUGCAUUUGAAACUGUUAUUCUAGAGUAUGGGAGAGGUAGGUGGAAUUCUUGGUGUAGGGGUCAAAUCCGUAGAGAUCACGAGGAAUACUCAUUGCGAAGGCGGCCUGCUAGAACAUAACUGACGCUGAUGCGCGAAAGCGUGGGGAGCAAACAGGAUUAGAUACCCGAGUAGUC